This 194-nucleotide ribosomal RNA is filed under the name uncultured bacterium. RNAcentral describes it as "partial 16S ribosomal RNA". It matches the Rfam family "Bacterial small subunit ribosomal RNA", at positions 1299 to 1500 of the family's 1533-position model. The record is from RNAcentral.
CGCAGUCUGCAACUCGACUGCGUGAAGGCGGAGUCGCUAGUAAUCGCGGAUCAGCAACGCCGCGGUGAAUGCGUUCCCGGGCCUUGUACACACCGCCCGUCAAGCCAUGGAAGCCGGGGGCGCUUGAAGUGCGUUGCCGCAAGGCGCGCCCUAGAGCGAAACCGGUGACUGGGGCUAAGUCGUAACAAGGUACC